Bos taurus (domestic cattle) is the source of this 471-nucleotide long non-coding RNA. NCBI's taxonomy places the organism in Eukaryota, Metazoa, Chordata, Mammalia, Artiodactyla, Bovidae. The record is from Ensembl.
GAGACCUGGGUUUAAUCCCUGGGUUGGGAAGAUCCCUUGGAGAAAGGAAAGGCCACCCACUCCAGUAUCCUUCCCAGGAGAAUCCCAUAGACAGAGAGGCCAAGAGUCGGACGACUGAGGGACUAAGCCCAGCACAAUAUCUUAAUGGCCUCUGGAAGCAAACUAGAAUCCAAGCCUUAAGCGCCUGGAGGUUAGGAAAUCAAAACCUAAGGACAAUCUGUCAGAAACAGACACUGAGCUUGGGGUCUAGAGCCCGGGAGCCACAACUACUGAAGCCACAAGAGAAGCCACAGCAACGAAAAGCCCACGUACCACACCUAGAGAGGAACCCCUGCUUGCCAAGACUAGGAAACAGCCUGAGCAGCAAAGAAGACCCAGCACAGCCAAAAGGUCUCCAUGCCUCCCAGGAGCCAGGAGGCACAAUCCUGCCUGCCAUCACCUAGACUGCUUGAGUCCUGAGAAGGAUAUGGU